This 801-nucleotide ribosomal RNA is filed under the name Streptomyces sp. RNAcentral describes it as "bacterial SSU rRNA". It matches the Rfam family "Bacterial small subunit ribosomal RNA", at positions 67 to 883 of the family's 1533-position model. Lineage: Bacteria; Bacillati; Actinomycetota; Actinomycetes; Kitasatosporales; Streptomycetaceae. The record is from RNAcentral.
CGAUGAAGCCCUUCGGGGUGGAUUAGUGGCGAACGGGUGAGUAACACGUGGGCAAUCUGCCCUGCACUCUGGGACAAGCCCUGGAAACGGGGUCUAAUACCGGAUACGACUUUCGGAGGCAUCUCUGAAGGUGGAAAGCUCCGGCGGUGCAGGAUGAGCCCGCGGCCUAUCAGCUUGUUGGUGGGGUGAUGGCCUACCAAGGCGACGACGGGUAGCCGGCCUGAGAGGGCGACCGGCCACACUGGGACUGAGACACGGCCCAGACUCCUACGGGAGGCAGCAGUGGGGAAUAUUGCACAAUGGGCGAAAGCCUGAUGCAGCGACGCCGCGUGAGGGAUGACGGCCUUCGGGUUGUAAACCUCUUUCAGCAGGGAAGAAGCGAAAGUGACGGUACCUGCAGAAGAAGCGCCGGCUAACUACGUGCCAGCAGCCGCGGUAAUACGUAGGGCGCAAGCGUUGUCCGGAAUUAUUGGGCGUAAAGAGCUCGUAGGCGGCUUGUCGCGUCGGAUGUGAAAGCCCGGGGCUUAACCCCGGGUCUGCAUUCGAUACGGGCAGGCUAGAGUUCGGUAGGGGAGAUCGGAAUUCCUGGUGUAGCGGUGAAAUGCGCAGAUAUCAGGAGGAACACCGGUGGCGAAGGCGGAUCUCUGGGCCGAUACUGACGCUGAGGAGCGAAAGCGUGGGGAGCGAACAGGAUUAGAUACCCUGGUAGUCCACGCCGUAAACGUUGGGAACUAGGUGUGGGCGACAUUCCACGUCGUCCGUGCCGCAGCUAACGCAUUAAGUUCCCCGCCUGGGGAGUAC